RNAcentral lists this transfer RNA (73 nucleotides) under Myotis davidii. It matches the Rfam family "tRNA". From Rfam's summary of the family: Transfer RNA (tRNA) molecules are approximately 80 nucleotides in length. Their secondary structure includes four short double-helical elements and three loops (D, anti-codon, and T loops). Lineage: Eukaryota; Metazoa; Chordata; Mammalia; Chiroptera; Vespertilionidae. The record is from Rfam by way of RNAcentral.
GCCUGUUUGGCUCAGUGGAUAGAGCAUCAGUCUGUGAACUGAAAGGUCCCAGGUUCAAUUCUGGUCAGAGGCA